GCUGGGCACGGUGGUGCAUGCCUGUAAUCCCAGCUACUUGGGAGGUUGAGGUGGGGGAAUUGCUUGAACCCAGGAGGCUGAGUUUGCAAUGAGCCAAGAUGGCACAACUGCACUCCAGCCUGGGUGACAGAGCGAGACUCCAUCUCAA
Macaca fascicularis (crab-eating macaque) is the source of this 148-nucleotide unclassified non-coding RNA. It matches the Rfam family "Metazoan signal recognition particle RNA". From Rfam's summary of the family: The signal recognition particle (SRP) is a universally conserved ribonucleoprotein. It is involved in the co-translational targeting of proteins to membranes. Lineage: Eukaryota; Metazoa; Chordata; Mammalia; Primates; Cercopithecidae. The record is from Ensembl.